UCUAGGGCACAACAAGGUUUGGGAUCGCAACGCCCUCCUAGCCGAUUGACCACCGUCAAUCCUCCUCCUGGAUCCGAUCACUGGUGUAUGCUCUGUAUCUCCCCACCAGAUGGAUUGAAUCGGGUGAUCAACCUUGAGGAAGCAUUGGAUCAAUAUGUGGUGGACCUUCCUUGUUGCCGACCAUUGCCAGUUCUACUUCUUCAAGCUGUGCAAGCCUCGGGUGAAGAGGUAGCCUGUAGAUGGUUGGUGUCGCUCGGAGUAUCCUGUCUGCCGGGUCCUACGUCAC
This is a long non-coding RNA of Zingiber officinale, 286 nucleotides long. RefSeq lists it as uncharacterized. The record is from RefSeq and is a predicted model, not a curated record. NCBI's taxonomy places the organism in Eukaryota, Viridiplantae, Streptophyta, Magnoliopsida, Zingiberales, Zingiberaceae. The transcript has 3 exons.